UUUUACCAAACUUUCAACCUCUUUCCAUACCCAUACGUGGGACUAAAUCUUAGCCAUUCAUCUCAAGACCUCAUCUCCACCAUCCAUCUUUCUAAAAAAACCUCUAUUUUCCCCCAUUUCUGACACCCCACUUACCCUUUUUCUCUCUCUAUUUCUUUUCUUUUCUUCAUUUCCCUUAUAUCCUCUCACUCCAUUUACAACCCACAUCAUCUCCCCGUUUCUUUCCUCUCUUCUGCCAUUAAAAUCCUCAUCACUGCACGCAAGCCCGACGAUCCUAACGACCCCCACCAUGCAUCCUAAGGUCUUUGUUGCUCGCGACGUCAACAACCAGUAGAUCUGAUGACCCUCAGUCUUCCUAUUGCACCCACACACCUCCAUUCCCUACAAUGUUGCCUUCCUCAUUACACCUCCAUGGCGCGGCUAAUAACCUCAUUUUUCUUUCCUCUCGUUGCCAUCAAGUCACUGCACCAUUCAUUCUUCACACGUCUUCCAGGAAUGGGCUUGUAGACUUUUGCUAUAUUUUUGCCACCUUGCAGAGGGAGACACGUGGACAGGAGGUGAACUAUGAGUGAGGUGGUGAUUUUCCAGCAGGAGAGGGGAUUUUGUGUGAGGGGUUAGAGAGAGUUGGACGCAAGAGUGACACGUAGGAGGGUGAUAAAAGGAAGAUAAUCUGGGGUUUUUGGAAAGAUGUGGAGGAGGCUUGGACGGCAAGAAAGGAAGCAAGGAGAGGGAGAGCAAGAAAAGGAAAGAGAAGAGGAAAGGGAGAGCCGAAGGAAGGGAAGAUGAGCAAGCUUUGCUUGAGAAGCCCAGUUUCCAUGAAGCUUAAAGCAUGCCCAGUUAAUGUUCCCAAGGACAUGCAGCAGCUUCUGCUUCUAACCCACAGAAGGCAGCAUUUGUUUUGUAAAAACUAAUAGACUCAAGAGGGGCUUGCAGAGUAUGGGAUCAUCUGAUUAUCCAAUGGGCGAAAUUAUAAGUGGAGAAGAUCCUAGGGAGGUGGAUGAAGUAGCAGCAAGAGAGUGUGAACAUGCACUUUUGCAGAAUACAAUGGACAAAGAGUUGAAUGCAACUACUGUUCUGACAGAGUUCAGUGAUGAAAACAGAUCUGUAUGGUACCCAGACUGGAGGAAGAAAGUAGCUUUUGCCUUGUAAACAUUGCCUGGGAAAGUCUUUUGAUAUUGGUAGGCUUAGCUAUGACUGUUCAGUGAGCAGAAAUUUUAAGAGAGUAGUAUUCUAAGGCUGACAAUCAUUAUAUUCUAUUUUGGGAACUCAUUACUCGUUAUGGGCAA
Molecule: long non-coding RNA, 1286 nt
Organism: Vitis riparia (riverbank grape)
Lineage: Eukaryota; Viridiplantae; Streptophyta; Magnoliopsida; Vitales; Vitaceae
Exons: 3
Source: RefSeq, a predicted model, not a curated record